UACUUUAUAUUGAAUGCAGAGGUUACGUUUAAUGUUAUCGAAUUUAUCAGUAUUAUUUUUAUUGUUAUAGAAGACAAAUGAUAAGUUUUCCUGAUUUCAUACAAUCCUGGUAGCGGCAGCAACUGAAAAAGUACACAGCACCAAGAUCAUGUUUUUGAAGAAGUUAGAGUCACUCAGUCAUAGAUGUUUGGAUAGCUUCAACAUAUUUCAUAAGAACUUGUCCAGACUUGGGAGGAAUAUCUAGUGACACUUGUAGAUUUUCUUGUUCUCACUUUGCUUAUAGAGACAAAUUUAUGACUUAAAUUGUUCGUACAAUAUUAUUUAUCUCAUGAAUACGAACCAGUUGUGCAUGGUAUCCGGUGUCCAUCGCCAUCACUUAAAGGUUAAUGGUUUCAGUUCAAUGUACAACUAUUAAAGUUAUGCAUCGACUUUUCCAACAAGUGACUUUCCCGUAACAAAGUACACGAAAGAUUUGGACGACAAUGGAACAUAUUAAGAUGUGUUUUAAAACAUGAGUAUGAUCCAUAUUAAUCACUUAGUAACAAGCAAUUUGUUGAGUAUGUAUCUAUUUUCUGAUUGUUUCAUAAUUGUUAGUAGGAGGUCUAGUGGUAGAGCGCCAGCUUCGAGUGCAGGGGGUCAUGAAUUUGCUCCCUAGCCGUGUCUAACCAAAAACGUAAGAGUAGUACUAGUUCUGCCCUCGCUUGGCGCUCAGCAUUAAAAGGUUAGUUCAAGGACUGGUCAUCCCGGUGUCAGUAUAAUGUGACUGGGUGGGGUAUUAUGUCCCGUGUCUACGGUGUGAUAUUCUAGUGAGGCAUCACUAUUAACUUGAACAUUGUGCUCAUUGCUACAACGCUAAUAUGACUAAAACGACGCUAAACCCUAGUACACAUAAACACGUAUAUUCAAUAGUUGUGUUCAUUGAUGAAUCGCUUUGCGAUUAAAACGUUUCUGAUUCUUUUCUUGUAUGAUAACAAGUGAAUGCUGUGUUUCUUAACUGACAAGUUCAAAUUUAGCAGCUUUUAGAAUUAAAUACGUACUUUAUUUAUGCAAAGUCUUCUUACAGAUGACACGAUGUACAGACAAGAAAGCAAACUAAAUAGCAAAAUUGAUAUUAUCGAUGAGACGGAAGAUGUCUAGUACGUAUCAACGGCAUCUGAAAUACACACAUGCAUGAGGAGAACAUAAGCAGAUUAUUUCAACAAGAACAGUUGAAAAGUUUUAACAUUUUAUACAGCGAAAAUGACAACACAAAUUAAAAGCGGAGCAUAUGCUAUUGGACUCAAUGAACACAAAUUAGCAAAUCAAUAGCAAACUUGUUUUGACUGAGUAUGUUUGUGAGGGAUAAUUAAUGACACCCUUCUAACUCCUAGCAUCAGCUUGAGUGGGACCAUAUCAUAAAAGUGGAACUCAUUGAAUCAUAUCACUUGUAUGUUUGUACAAUAUAUUUUAAUGAAGACGUAAACGCACGUUGCAUGUUGUUCCACAGAUAAUGUGUAUUGUCUGUUCAAUAUUUUCUGUGACUUCACUAAAUAUUUGUCUCACUAUUUUUCUGUGAAGUUACAGUUAUUUAGGUUUUAAAAUGACUAUUCAUGGCUGAAUUCUGUGAUAAGCAUUGGAAGUUUUGAAACUUUAUUCUAAAUGUUAAAAAUCAAACUUACCUAAUAAAUAUUUUGAAUGGCA
Long non-coding RNA from Mercenaria mercenaria, 1680 nucleotides. RefSeq lists it as uncharacterized. The record is from RefSeq and is a predicted model, not a curated record. Lineage: Eukaryota; Metazoa; Mollusca; Bivalvia; Venerida; Veneridae. The transcript has 3 exons.